This 440-nucleotide ribosomal RNA is filed under the name uncultured bacterium. RNAcentral describes it as "partial 16S ribosomal RNA". It matches the Rfam family "Bacterial small subunit ribosomal RNA", at positions 338 to 795 of the family's 1533-position model. The record is from RNAcentral.
CCUACGGGUGGCAGCAGUGGGGAAUCUUCCACAAUGGGGGAAACCCUGAUGCAGCGACGCCGCGUGAGUGAAGAAGUAAUUCGUUAUGUAAAACUCUAUCAGCAGGGAAGAAAAUGACGGUACCUAAGUAAGAAUCCCCGGCUAACUACGUGCCAGCAGCCGCGGUAAUACGUAGGGGGCAAGCGUUAUCCGGAUUUACUGGGUGUAAAGGGAGCGUAGACGGUGCGCCAAGUCUGGAGUGAAAUGCGCCAGCUUAACUGGGGAAGUGCAUUGGAAACUGGCGAACUAGAGUGCGGGAGGGGUAAGCGGAAUUCCUAGUGUAGCGGUGAAAUGCGUAGAUAUAAGGAGGAACACCGGUGGCGAAGGCGGCUUACUGGACCGUAACUGACGUUGAGGCUCGAAAGCGUGGGGAGCAAACAGGAUUAGAUACCCGGGUAGUC